RNAcentral lists this long non-coding RNA (947 nucleotides) under Aquilegia coerulea. RNAcentral's name for it is "long non-coding RNA (ACOE_LNC001220)". The stretch from base 617 to 887 matches the Rfam family "Bacterial small subunit ribosomal RNA", at positions 47 to 390 of the family's 1533-position model. Lineage: Eukaryota; Viridiplantae; Streptophyta; Magnoliopsida; Ranunculales; Ranunculaceae. The record is from RNAcentral.
CGGGACAACUCUGAGCAAUUCUUAUAUUAAUCAAGAAAAAUGGUACAAUGAUCUUCUCAUAUUACAGACUUGAAUUUGAGGAAUCUAUUAUACUAUAUUCAAGCAAAAAAUUCCCCUAAGAAAAUGCAUAAGCACUAUGUACACAAACAAUUGAGAUAACACACAAAUACCUCCCCACUUAAAUCCCUCUAUAAUGCUAUUAUACUUCUUCGCUCCUAAUUCAUUUCCCGGAAGAUCGAAAUUCGUAGUCACAUGGUUGAAGAAGAGAUUAGAACCAACCUUCUUUCUAAGAAAUGGAAAAAGGUAUGUUCUUAUCUUUCCAUUUUGAAAUUCGAUUUACCUCAUUCCAGAUGGAGUGAGGGUUGCAACCUGCAACAGUUCAAAGAAAUUGUAUUCAUAUAAUUUCCCACCAUGAUGAAAAAAGUAUAAAUAUUAAUAUGAGAUUAUUGCUUCAAACCAUAACAAGAUUAUUUUUGCUACAAAUUAUCAUAAUUUCUAUUUAUGAAAUAAAAUUAAGAUGAAAGCGAAACUUACCAUUCCGGCAUAGGACUAGGGAUUCUGGGGAAGUGGCUAAAGGGAUCAGACCUGUGACCUUAUCAUGCUUAUAGAACCAAAACAUAACAGCUUGCAAGAUGAUGAUUGCAGAAUGUUCAUAUUGCCUGCAUGGCUUUUUGGGGAUUGAUAUACCCCAUAGGCUGAGUAGCAAAAGGAGGAAUCCGUCCAAGAAGAGGCUUGCAUCUGCUUAGCUAGUUGGUGAGACAAUAGCUUACCAAGGCGAUGAUCAUGGUUGGUCCUAGAGGAUGGCCAGCCAAACUGGAAUUGAGACAUGGCCCAGACUCUUACGGGAGGCAGCAGUGGGGAAUUUUCCGCAAUAGGCUAUAUAUGUAUAUGAAGAAGAAAUCAAUGACUAUUGACUCUGAUGACAGGCAAGGAAACUGAUUAUAAAU